Molecule: transfer RNA, 61 nt
Filed under: Arytainilla spartiophila (broom psyllid)
Lineage: Eukaryota; Metazoa; Arthropoda; Insecta; Hemiptera; Psyllidae
Description: tRNA-Cys
Source: RNAcentral
AUUUUUUAUUCAAUAUGAUUCUAAACUGCAAAUUUAGAGGUAACUUUUAGUUAAAAAUUUU